UGAUAAGGGUGAGGUCGGACGUUCGAGUCGUCCCAGGCCCACCACUGAUCCAGAAGGUUGGGCGUCGAUCUGAAGCUCUUGUUGUGCUGAGCGUGCUCUUAGGGGCCAUAGCUCAGUUGGGAGAGCGCGUGCUUUGCAAGCAUGAGGUCGUCGGUUCGAUCCCGUCUGGCUCCACCAUUUCCUGCAUUCCGAUGAGGGAUGCGGUCGAGAUGGUCGGUGGUGAAGCGCUUCAAGCGUGAGAGAAGAACAUCCGGUUCUUUUCUCUUCUGUCCGCACAAUCUGUUUCGCUGAUCCUCAGCAAGCCCCCAUGUGGGCGAGGAUGAGCGCUGCUGUCUGACAUUGUGAAUCUGGGCGUUUUCGAUUUGCUGGCCGCAAGGCUGGCGGGUCGUGACAAUCAAGCUUUCGGGCUUGAGAGGACACGAUCAUCGGGUGCUGACCGCACCGGUGUCGAAAAUGUCGAAGCUGGUCUUUAGCGUCCAGCCCUCUCGCUGAUCCGCCUGGUGCGGAUUGAUGAGAACCUCAGCCGAGGAGUGGGCAUGGACGAUGAGAACGAUCAAGUGUCUUAAGGGCAUUCGGUGGAUGCCUUGGCGCUAA
This 594-nucleotide transfer RNA is filed under the name Azorhizobium sp. STM 3354. Its description in RNAcentral is "partial 16S-23S ribosomal RNA intergenic spacer". The stretch from base 102 to 174 matches the Rfam family "tRNA". Lineage: Bacteria; Pseudomonadati; Pseudomonadota; Alphaproteobacteria; Hyphomicrobiales; Xanthobacteraceae. The record is from RNAcentral.